This 881-nucleotide ribosomal RNA is filed under the name Chlamydodon triquetrus. RNAcentral's name for it is "SSU rRNA". It matches the Rfam family "Bacterial small subunit ribosomal RNA", at positions 524 to 1485 of the family's 1533-position model. The record is from RNAcentral. Lineage: Eukaryota; Ciliophora; Phyllopharyngea; Chlamydodontida; Chlamydodontidae.
UACAUGAGUGGCGAGCGUUAUUCCCUAUGGUUGGGUGUAAAAUAUCCUUAGGAGGGGGCAUUUUGAUUUUUAACCCCCCAUCAAAAAAAUACUACUAAAAUUUUUAUUUUUGGUGUUUAUAGAGGUAAAAUUCUAGGAGAAAUACUAAAAAUCUAAAAGUGAAGACAUUUCAAUAGAGUAGUAUGUAUACUUAGGGAUGAAAGUAUGGUUCGUGGCGAGGAUUAGAGACCCUCUUAAUCCAUACUGUAAAUUAUGAUUGCUGUUUGACAAGACAAGCUAACGUAAGAGCAAUCUACCUGGGGCCUAAAACCGCAAGGUUAAAACUUAAAGAAAUUGGCGGGACUCUUUCAAUGGUGGAGCAUGUGAUUUAAUGCGGUAAUCCUCGCAAAACAUUACUAGAGUGCAGGUAACUCUUAGUUUUUAUGGAUAACAUAAGUAAUUGCCUGUAGGUAUUGCAUGGCUGUCGUCAGUUCGUGCUGUGAAGUGUUGUGUUUAGUCAUCAAAACGAACGCAAUCCUAUGAUCAUCGAUUAGGUGAUUAUUUAUUUAUGGCUGAAGUCAAGUCUUUAUGGUCUGUUUACUCUAGGCUACACACGUGCUACAUUGGUAAAAACAAAGGGCAACUAGAGUUAAUACUCGCGUUAUUCUCUAAAAAUUACCAAUCCCAAUUAUUAUUUAUAGUCAAUAAUAUGAGGGUGAAAUCAUUAGUAAUCAUAGUUUAGGAUGAUAUGGUGAAUAUAAAAAAAGAGUUUGCACACACCGCCCAUCACGCUCAGAGAGUCAUGUUUAUUUAAAGAUUCGCAGCCAAAGAACUCUUCAAGUACUAAAUAAGAGACUUUCGCAAGGCGUGUUAUAGAAUUAAAUGUGGUAAUUGGAGUGAAG